This is an RNA transcript of Notolabrus celidotus (New Zealand spotty), 1446 nucleotides long. RefSeq lists it as uncharacterized. The record is from RefSeq and is a predicted model, not a curated record. Lineage: Eukaryota; Metazoa; Chordata; Actinopteri; Labriformes; Labridae. The transcript is spliced from 3 exons.
CCGGAAAUAGCAGAACUGCUGUGAGAAUGGCAUCAGUCCUGUGCUGUGGAAAGAUAACUUUUUGCUACUACUACAAACUAUAACACCUAGCUUGAAGAUGCACAAGAUAAAGUGAGCUGGAAAUUCCAACAGUUAUGCAAUUUCCUCUUAAUUUCUCAAGCCCUGUCAGUGUACUUGAACGUGGUUGAGCAGCGCGGCCUUGAUGGCUCCACGGGGGGUCCAGAGAAGAGUGUAUAGGGACAGCUCAGUGGGCCACUGUAACAGCACUCGUAUUCCUCUCUGGGGGUAGAUUAAGCUUAAUUAACUAAACCAUCCAGCACGCUUGGAUGAAUGGAUACAAGUCAAGGGCAGAGCAGUCACGGGUGUGCUCACACAUUCUCUGGCAGGCACUGAGAGAGAGUUUUGUGUCGUAUUUUGGCUCUGUGUGUGUGUAAUAGUGGCAAAAAAUAGAUGCUGUAGCUAAAGUUGUGUGUACAAGUCAACAAUUAACUAAUCUGUGUUCAGUCUGUAGUAAGUCACACAAACGACAGUGACCUCAGCGGCACCUAUGCAAAGCAGUCGCAGGAAAAUAAAUCCCAGAAUAUGACACAAUUCCUCAAAUUCCAAGUUUCUAAGAGUUUAAAAAUAGCUUUUAGACUCACCAAACUCUGCAAAGGGAAUCUAAAGAUAUUUUGAACCAGUCUAACCUAGUUUCAGAGUGUCAGCUGAUGAUAACAGGACCAACAUCAAGACUGAGUUGUGAAUAAAGGAGUGUCAAACCUCCAAUGGAUCUGUAUGGCAUAGUUUAGGGUGUAUCUGUAACAGUGCUGCGAACAUUAUUUAAGAUACCACCAUUUUUUAACAUCCACAACACUUUUAGGCUCAUCGUGAUUUCAAGAGGUCAAACCUCUGUUUGAUACCAUCUCAAGCUUACUUCGGAGAGAAAAGGACCUAACUACAGGUUUUGUUUCUGACGGCAUGAACGGCCAUACAAAGGAUGCAUUAUAACCGGUAAUAACAUUGAAGAUCACAGAGAGAAGACCAAACCAGAUGAAGAAGAAUAGAAAAACCCUUGAGCUCAAACACAAGACAAUACAAGGCAUCUCAUUUCUUAUCUUUAAGUCAGUGUAAUCUUCCCCCAGAUCAUUUUCUUCGCAAAUGAUGUUGUUGUUGUUCACUCCUGUUUUUAGCCACGAGCUACACAGCUGUUGCUGUUUUCUUAUAGUCUCUGCUACUAGCCCUCCAUGGCCCUAACAUUCACUCCCUGCUCUACUUUUCUCCCAGGCAUCUCACCCUCCUUUCUCACAUUGAUAUCUCCCCUUUAAUUUUGGUUAUGUAUAACGAUAAUUACUCCAACCAUAUGUGCAUUUAAUUGAUGCCUUGCGAAUGUGUAAAUGUGUGUGUGUGUACUGUGCGCACAUUGCUAAUAAAGUCUUAUUGCCUGUUAAUCUGGACUGUCAGGGAAAU